RNAcentral lists this transfer RNA (85 nucleotides) under Pyropia kanakaensis. RNAcentral describes it as "tRNA-Ser". It matches the Rfam family "tRNA". Rfam says of the family: Transfer RNA (tRNA) molecules are approximately 80 nucleotides in length. Their secondary structure includes four short double-helical elements and three loops (D, anti-codon, and T loops). RNAcentral also lists the same sequence under 3 other names. The record is from RNAcentral. Lineage: Eukaryota; Rhodophyta; Bangiophyceae; Bangiales; Bangiaceae.
GGAGAGAUGGCAGAGUGGUUUAUUGCAACAAUUUCGAAAAUUGUCAUAACGUUAGUUAUCGAGGGUUCAAAUCCCUCUCUCUCCU